UAGGGAAUCUUCGGCAAUGGACGAAAGUCUGACCGAGCAACGCCGCGUGAGUGAAGAAGGUUUUCGGAUCGUAAAACUCUGUUGUUAGAGAAGAACAAGGACGUUAGUAACUGAACGUCCCCUGACGGUAUCUAACCAGAAAGCCACGGCUAACUACGUGCCCGCAGCCGCGGUAAUACGUAGGUGGCAAGCGUUGUCCGGAUUUAUUGGGCGUAAAGCGAGCGCAGGCGGUUUCUUAAGUCUGAUGUGAAAGCCCCCGGCUCAACCGAGGAGGGUCAUUGGAAACUGGGCGACUUGAGUGCAGAAGAGGAGAGUGGAAUUCCAUGUGUAGCGGUGAAAUGCGUAGAUAUAUGGAGGAACACCAGUGGCGAAGGCGGCUCUCUGGUCUGUAACUGACGCUGAGGCUCGAAAGCGUGGGGAGCAAACAGG
Molecule: ribosomal RNA, 429 nt
Filed under: Gemmatimonadota bacterium
Lineage: Bacteria; Pseudomonadati; Gemmatimonadota
Description: Gemmatimonadetes bacterium partial 16S ribosomal RNA
Rfam family: Bacterial small subunit ribosomal RNA
Source: RNAcentral